CAGACUUUCUUUGGGGGUCAGAUGACAACCCCCAGUGGUAACCAGGCUUCCUAUAGUACUCAGAUGAUGCCCUGUGAGGGUAACCAGGCUCAGAUGGCCACCCUACAUGGAUCCCAGACCUCAUAUGGCUCGCAGUUGACAAACCCCAGAGGUGGCCUGACCCAUUAUACGGGACAGGUGAUGUCCCUUGUUACCCUUAUGGGUAGCCAGCUGCACUUUCUGGACAGAUCCCCAUCUAUUUCAAAUUCUCACUUGGCACAAGAACAGCCUCCAGAAUGUUCUUCAAGCUUUCCUUCGACAGCAGGAAAUCUCUCAGUCGUGAAAGAAGAGGACCUCAUGACUUGGGUCUCUGAGUUGAAGAAAAGGAAGAAAAGGAAGAAUUGGAAGACAUACAAGUGCAGACAAUGUGGACAGCUAUUCAUAAGAAUUUCCCACCUCCAAUGGCAUAUUCGCAAACACACUGGGGAGAAGCCCUACAAAUGCGCCAUACCUGGAUGCCAGUUGACAUUCGCCUGAGCUCAGCCAACACAUGAAAAUGCACUGAGAGAGGCACUCCUCUAGUUGAGCAGUGUGGAACAAGGACUAUUCACGGUCGGAUAACCUAAGGCACCACCCGGCAUUGAACCCAUCAGUCCUUCCUAGUGCUGUGGUUAAAGGCCUGCACCACCACAUGGGUCUUUCAGAAAAGCAAAAGGACCUUCUUUUGGACACUGUAUUCUGCCUAAGAGCUAUCAGUUGGCAUAUUUUACUCAAGAUAAUGUGUGAACUUUGU
This is a long non-coding RNA of Alexandromys fortis (reed vole), 772 nucleotides long. RefSeq lists it as uncharacterized. The record is from RefSeq and is a predicted model, not a curated record. The transcript is spliced from 3 exons. NCBI's taxonomy places the organism in Eukaryota, Metazoa, Chordata, Mammalia, Rodentia, Cricetidae.